This 1579-nucleotide ribosomal RNA is filed under the name Candidatus Woesearchaeota archaeon. RNAcentral's name for it is "partial 23S ribosomal RNA". It matches the Rfam family "Archaeal large subunit ribosomal RNA", at positions 1730 to 2987 of the family's 2987-position model. Lineage: Archaea; Nanobdellati; Candidatus Woesearchaeota. The record is from RNAcentral.
AACAAACUGUACCAACAACCGGCACUGGUGUCCCUAGGUGAGAAGCCUCAGGUAUACAGGAAUAAACUUUGUUAGGGAAAUCGGCAAAUUAGCUCCGUGCCUUCGGCAUAAGGAGUCCCUGAGCUUGUAUUCGUAUGAGUGCAAGUGCAGGGUUAUAUAACAAGAUGGGCCCGACUGUUUAACAAAAACGUAACGUCUCGCAAGUCCGAAAGGAUGUGAAUGGGACGUGACGUCUGCCCAAUGCUAGUAUCUCAAACCUCUGUUCAAGGAGGCUAAGGACUAGUGAAUGGCGGGAAUAACUAUAAUUCUCUUAAGGUGGAACAUAAUACUGCCUUAGUAAAAUCAGGCUAUAUGCUGGAACAUCUGGGUAUCCUAAAAUACUGAACUAAAGUUUUUUAUUUUUUUAGUAAAUCAUCAAUUGAUGACAGUGAAAAUUUUUGGGUGCAGACAAUCAGCAGGAAAGAUUUCUUCGCAAGAAGAAAAAUCCUCAGAGACUAUAUGCCAGACAUCACAAGUUGUGAUGAAGAUAGAGUCCGACCCUAUCAGCGAUGAUAGGAACUCAUCAGAAAUGGUGAGACGCCAAGAAGGCUUGGUCAGUAACUUGUGACAGACAAGUGAAGUAACAGAUGUGAGCGAAAUACCUUGUCGUUUGAAUGACGACGCGCAUGAAUGGCGUAACGAGGUUCAUACUGUCCCAACAAAGAGUCCUCCGAACUCGCUCUGAUGGUGUGAAGGCCAUCGAUGUCCAGUGGGAAGCGAAGACCCCGUAGAACUUUACUGUAGCUUGUCGUUGCGAGGUAAAGAUUCGUAUGUAGCGUAGGUGGUAGUCGUUUGAUGUUCAGCUCGUCAGGGCUGAUCUAGACACCAAUGAAACACCACUUUCGAAUUUUUGCCUUGCUUAUUCUCCUAAAGAGAAGACAGCGGCUGGCGGACAGUUUGGCUGGGGCGGCACCCUGCUGAAAAGAUAUCAGUAGGGCCCUAAGGUAAGCUCAUCAGGUUUAGAAAUCCUGAGUGGAGUGCAAGAGCAAAAGCUUGCCUGACUGUAUUUCAACCACUACGAAAUGCAGAGACGAAAGUCUGGUCUAGCGAACCCCUAUGUCCUUCUUGGUGAGGGCUAGGUAUGACAGAAAAGCUAUCUCGGGCAUAACUGAGUUGUAGCGCCUAAGAGCUCGAAUCGACGGCGCUGUUUGCUACUUCGAUGUCGGCUCAUCGCAUCCUGGGUGUGCACAAGCACCCAAGGGUACGGGUGUUCACCGGUUAAAGCGGUUCGUGAGCUGGGUUAAGAACGUCGUGAGACAGUUUGUAUGAUAUCUACUGGACAUGUUAAGGAUCUGAGAGGAAGGAUCAUUUAGUACGAGAGGAACAAUGGUUCGGUGCCUCUGGUACAUCGGUUGUCUGAUAAGGCAGGUCGAGCAGCUACGCACUACGGGAUAAGUCCUGAAAGCAUCUAAGGACGAAACCCCCCUUGAAAAGAGAUCUAGAGCACCUAUAGAACAUAGGAUUGAUAGGGUUGGGGUGUAAGUGUCGAGGUAACGAGACAUUCAGCCUGCAACUACUAAUAGCUUGAAUUUUAAUUUGU